ACUGCAUAUUUACUUCUUGCACAUAUUUAAUCUUCUAAACGCACUUGAAGGAUAAACAAUAUUAUCAAUCUAAAAACAAAGAGUACCAUCAACAACUAUCAUCCUGUACCAAAAGAAUUAAGAUUUUCCUAGACUAAAAUAAAAAACUCAUGCAUGCAACAACGGUUUCUGCAUUCAAUUUAAACGCUAAAGAAGACAAAAAAAAUGGAAUUAUGUCCUACACCAAUACAAACACACGUUCAUACAAAAUAUUCAUCAGACUACCUUAGACCUAGCCAAAACAAUAGAUAAAAUUCAUCAAGAACUCAUCGGAACAACACAAAAACAAAUAAAAUACAAACAGUACCAUGUGCACAUUUAACCACCCAUGCUUAUCAAGUCGAAAUUCCCAAAACAUAGGACAAGUUCAACUUCCCUUACCUGGACCCCAAACGUUUGCUCGUGGUUAGCCUUCUCCUUAUUGUUAUUCUUUCUCUCACGGUUUCACAUAAGAGAUAGACUUUCUCUCCCAUCGGCUGAGUUCUCCCUAAACCACCCACAUUAUCAUCGUGAUGUCAGAUUAAGGGUUCUUUCUCUUUUCUGUUUGGUCAAGAAAGUUGAGAGUAGGGUUGGUCUCUAAUCUCUCUCAUAACACUGUAGGUAAAAACAAAAGGUUAGGUUUACUUUCCACCAUGUUACGAAUACUCCCAAUAUCAUCUCCCUACUAUCAGUGUUUUUCUUUUCCAGGUUUUAUUCUAAAUCUCACUUAAAUAUCUCCGCUCUAAUAACACUUUCGGUUUUCGUCCUAUUAUUUCAUUUAAUUAAUUUAAAUAAAACCUAAAUUUCAGACCCUCGCUUUCCCCACUUUUCGGCAUGUACGCACCAAACUAAAUCUAAGAAAACCCUCAACCCCUCCUUAUUCGAAUAUCCUGGGAAAAACAAGAAGAGAAUUUUUCUCUCCUCCCUAUAAUUUAGGAAUCCAUAAAAAAAACAACAAUGAGAGAAGCCUAAUUAUCUCUUUCUCGUGCACCCUAAGAAUAAAAAUUCAUGCACUUAAACCAACUCUUUCU
RNAcentral lists this long non-coding RNA (1049 nucleotides) under Vigna radiata. RNAcentral's name for it is "long non-coding RNA (VRAD_LNC005716)". Lineage: Eukaryota; Viridiplantae; Streptophyta; Magnoliopsida; Fabales; Fabaceae. The record is from RNAcentral.